Mastomys coucha (southern multimammate mouse) is the source of this 2105-nucleotide long non-coding RNA. RefSeq lists it as uncharacterized. The transcript is spliced from 2 exons. NCBI's taxonomy places the organism in Eukaryota, Metazoa, Chordata, Mammalia, Rodentia, Muridae. The record is from RefSeq and is a predicted model, not a curated record.
CCCUUAGCCCCGCGUCCGCCCGCCCGCUCGCCCGCCCGGGCCGGGCCCGGCCCGGACACCGCUUCUCUGGCGCGCGCUCCGGGCCCCGCGGGCCGGGUUGUGCUGUCACCCCGGGGAGGGCGCGCGCCGGGCCUGGGGGGUGGCGGGGCCCUGGUCCUGACCCUGGCCCGGGCCCCGAGUGGUGGCUCCGGGGAGGGUGCAUGUGUGUGCAUGUGUGCGCGCGUGCUUGUGUGUGUGUGUGUGUAGUGUGUGUGUAGUGUGUGUGUGUGUGUGUAGUGUGUGUGCACGCGCACGCGUGUGCGUGCCGCGGCCCCCGCCCUCCAGGCUCAGCUGGCGGGGUGCAGCCGGGGUUGCCCCCUGCGCUCUGCGGCUGGGCCCGGGGCUCCGGGCUACGAAGCAAGAUGGAGCAACCUUUAGGGCUGCCGGGGAAUGGCCUUGGUGGGGAUGUGCGCUCUUCCCUUAAUGGAGAGGCGCCGCGUCCUUGAUGCAGCUGCAGCAGCUGCAGCAGCAGCAACAGCAGCAGCAGCAACAGCACCAGCACCACCAGCAUCACCAGCACCACCAGCACCAGCACCAGCACCAGCCCAGCGGUGCGCUGCUACACCGGUCCAUGCUUGGGGACGGCCUCUGAAUGGCCUGAUUUUAAUGCGAAACUUGUCAGUGGACUUCGGGAUUGGAUCUCUCUGAGGUUGCAGGCACACGGUCCUGUCAGCAGGAGGAAGAUAGUAGUACUAUUGUUCCAGCGUGUCUGUGAUGAGCUGGUUGCAUUAGAGCCCUAAAACCUUCCCCCUCAGGCCAGGUUGGAUGCUUCCUUCUCAUCGUGUGGGAGAGAGAUACUGAGACUUGGCGGUUGCUCUCUCUGCUGUUGUGAUUUCACGGAGUGUUCUAUACGCUUUCGUCUUUGCUCUUCAUGGUGGACAUCAUGUGCUCAACUGUCAUAAGUUUCAGCUCGGGUUUUGUAGGUUCUUUUUUUUUUUCUUUUCCUCCACUAAAGUUCCAAAAUGUGUUUAAUAAUAAAUAUUUAGCGGUUCUCCCACUCAUUUGAGAAGACUACAGUGUAAUGGUGUGGAAAUGAGCUGUCGUCUCCUCUUGAGUUAAUAUUUGGUGCAGUUUAGCAUGGUGAACUUUUUUUUUUUGUAACGGUUUGUGAGGGCCAGCAGCCAGAACGUAAAUUCAUUCGUGCCAGUUUUCAUCAUGGGGAGGAGCUGACGUUGACUUUGUGUUUUCCCUUUUAACACUUUCAGGGUGGAGAGGGAUAUAAACCGGGUGGCUAUAAGUGUUGCUUGUGCUAUCAGAUUCUUGUAGAUUGGACAUUUUUCCGAAUUUGGGAGUUCUCCAAGGUGCUUUGGGAGCAGUCCCUGGGAAACUCCAAUGGGAGGAAAAAGAUAAUGUGUCCCAGACUCUGCUCCCUUGCCUCUCUGUUCUGACCGGCUAGAGACGAUAAGAGAGAGCAUCACUCUUCCACAGGCAGAGAAGGCAGAGCUGAAUUCUUUAGAUUUAAACUGGAAAAUGAGGUGUGCAGUGUGGAUAGUGUAUUUCUAUUUAGUAGCUAUGAAGAAACGUUUGUGUUUUGUUAGGCUUCAGAUAGACUGGCUUCUUCAGUUUACCAGCUCUGUUUUAUCAUCUGCAUCCUGUAUUUAAAGCACCCCUUCCCAUUCAUGCUUUCACUCAAAGCAAGCACCUCUGCUCUGUCUGCAUUAUGUUAAUAUGAUGUGUCUCUACCCACCCAUACUUGAAGAGAGAGAAGCCAUCCGAACUCAUCCGCUUUGAGCCCUUUUUGCAGGGUCCAAAACUCCCUGCCUACCAGGAAGUCAAUUCACAUUUACUCUCAAAGCCUCACAUAAUGCCUGGAACCACAUAACCUGCUCUCCUCUUGUUGAGAGUAGCUGUCCGUUUUGUUUUUAGGUAACAGCAGUCACCUGUCAUCAUCGAUCACUCUUGAAGAGUGAGUGUUAGCUUCUUGCUGCCCAGAGAAGUAUGGGAAACCACUUUAGAUGAAGUGUACUUAGCUUAACUCCCGAUGAGCUAUGUUGAGACCUGACCUAGACUUUUAAGGAUUACAAAAAGAAAAGAAAAGAAAAAAAUAAAAGCCUUUUGUCACUGUG